AAGGGCUUGAACUGGGCCUAACAAAGGACCCGCCUGUAGGACUUGCACAGUCUUAUUUAGGAAGCAGUCUGCCCCACAGUCUGAACGUGUUUCCAGAGGAUGUCCAGAGGCACUGCGGCAAGCUGCCUGAGGGGUACCUGCCUAUUUUCAGCUGGCUGUCCCUGCAGUAAGGGACUGUUCCUCUUGAAAGGAUUAGAAACUGGGGCCUUGCAGCAGAACCUGCUUUCUGUGCCUCCUAGUCAUAGAACCUCCACGUACCAGUGGGCCAGCCUCUACUUCCCAGUCUCCCUUACAAUGAGAUGUGGUUCACCCCCAUUCCUGAAAACUCGGUCCUUGUCUCCAAAGCCAACCCAGUCAUGAAGAUGAGGUUUUGGGGAAAAGGAAAAAGAAUGUUUAUUGCUUUGUCAACAAGGGAGAAACACAGGGGACUCUUAUGCCAGAGUCUGUAAUUCUGCCCAUCACGGAAACCGGGGGCUUUUAAAGAGGUGAUUCCAAGGCUACAUUCCAAGUGUUUCCAGUCUGGAGAUGUAAUUCACUUGCUAAUUUAAGAGUCAUUUCUUAGAUCCUCUGGUGCCAUCCCCAAAGUCUAAAUUACUUCAUUUCACAGCGGCAAAGCAGCAAGGGCUAUAUUCAAAACGUAAAGUAGACCGCUAUUACACCACCCUCCUAUGACCAAUAGAGUAUCAGAGGAAAUGACACUUGGUUCUUAAGGAAACAAUCCUGAAAGAGAAGCAGCUGGCCUUGUUCCUUCUUUCCUCCUACCUAAUGGCUAGACUGAGGAUGUGAUGUCUGGAGCUCAAGCAUCCAUAUUGGACCAAGAGUAGAAAUCAUGUAUUGAGGAUAGUAGAGCAACAAUAUAGGUCCCUGAAGAUUGUAAAAACACCCUAACAGCUUUGGACUGCCUACUUUAAGACUUUAUCUGUGUACAAGAGAAGUAACCAUGUACCUUGUUGAAGCCAGUGUCUCUUGGGGUUUCUAUCCUUCUCUAAUGAACCUAAUCUUAAUAAUGGUGUAAUACAUGAAAAGAUCACUAAAGAUCAAAUUGCUGCAAAGAAAACACAAUUGAAGGCCGCAGCCUAGUAACAGCACCCUCGAUCCACACUGCUGGGGAUUACUGCCUAGAGCCUGCCCACCUGUCCCCCUCCUGUUCCUGACCUCAUUUAUCUGGAAGCAUUAAUAUGCAGAUAAUGGAAAGAUAUUUUUUCCUUUUCUACCUAUUGAAUUUUAAAUGUGAAUGAAUCACCUAUUCAACAGUAUCUGACUGAAAAUAAAACUAAAGCAAAAUUUUCUUCAAGUUACCGAUUGAGGCCAGGGUGGGAAUCCGGCUUGGAGGAAUGAAGGAAAGGUACAGGCAAAGUUCAUCUGUAACAUUUUCUAUAUUUUAAUUAGAAAGUAAGAUGGGCAAAGGGAUAGUUGUCACUCCUGGGUGAUGGGUGAUAGUUAUAUCUAUGUAUUUAUGUAUAAAUAAAUAUUUUAUGAUGAUGUUAAUAAUAUAAAUCUAGAAAAUAAAAACAUUCUUUGUACUUUUCUGCAUGAUCUUAUAUGACUCAAAAUAAAAG
This 1559-nucleotide long non-coding RNA is filed under the name Marmota monax (woodchuck). The record is from RNAcentral. Lineage: Eukaryota; Metazoa; Chordata; Mammalia; Rodentia; Sciuridae.